GCCAUGACUCAGUGGUAGGACAUCUGAUUGGCUUGCAGAAGGUUCCAGGUUCAAGCCCCGGUUUCUCCA
RNAcentral lists this transfer RNA (69 nucleotides) under Sphaerodactylus townsendi. RNAcentral describes it as "tRNA-Ala". The record is from RNAcentral. Lineage: Eukaryota; Metazoa; Chordata; Lepidosauria; Squamata; Sphaerodactylidae.